This 502-nucleotide ribosomal RNA is filed under the name uncultured archaeon. Its description in RNAcentral is "bacterial SSU rRNA". It matches the Rfam family "Archaeal small subunit ribosomal RNA", at positions 325 to 832 of the family's 1478-position model. The record is from RNAcentral.
ACGGGGUGCAGCAGGCGCGAAACCUCUACAAUGCACGAAAGUGUGAUAGGGGAACUCCAAGUGACCAUGAAUGUGGUCUUUUAUGAAGUGUAAACAGCUUCAGGAAUAAGAGCUGGGAAAGACCCGUGCCAGCCGCCGCGGUAAUACGGGCAGCUCGAGCGGUGUUCACGAAUAUUGGGCCUAAAGCGUGCGUAGCCGGUUAAAUAAGUCCUUGGUGAAAUCCACUGGCUAAACCAUUGGAAUUGCCAAGGAAACUAUUUGACUUGGAGCCGGGAGAGGUAGGAGGUAUUUUGAGGGUAGGGGUUAAAUCCUGUGAUCCUCGGAGGACCAUCGGUGGCGAAGGCGUCCUACUGGAACGGACUCGACGGUGAGGCACGAAAGCUAGGGGAGCAACCCGGAUUAGAGACCCGGUUAGUCCUAGCCGUAAAUGAUGCUGGUUUGGUGUGACACUCCUUACGAGGGGGUGUUGUGCCGUAGGGUAGCCGUAAACCAGCCGCCUGGG